GUCCAUGGCCUUCUGGGAUGGAGCUUCGAUCACAUGCUCCAAACUGGGCAGGUCCAUCUUGCUGGAGGCGGCCACGGGCAGGCAAGACAUGAAGGUGGUUAGGUCUGCCAGGCCAAUGGCAGGCUGCGUGCUGAUUGCCCGUUCCAGGCUGUGUUUUGAGGCCUGGAUGAGCUUGUCAGCCCAGAAGAGGUCCUUGGAGGUCUGCACACAGAUGGAAUGGUAUUUGGUGGACAACUGGUCCUCCUCUGUGGGACUCAGGUAGCUGGAGUCUGAUCUCAUACUCCACUGGUUGAUGUCCUUUAGAGUUAGCCCCUCUGUGUGGGGCAGGAGGGGCUCUAUCAUAUACUCCUGCUGCCAAGGGUCUUCAUUACAGGGAGUCGCCUUCAACUUGGGCCCCACAUCCAGCUCAGCCUCAGGCUGCGGCAAAUCCUCAGGCUCUGGCUCCACAUCCGUCUCCAGUUCUGGGUCUACGUUCAGGUCCGAUUGGUCUGGGGGCUCCAGCUCUAGCAACUCGUUAUCCAGCUGAAAAGUGUCAACUGAAAGCUGAGGAGGCCUCUGCCCUUGAGGUCCUCCCUCGUGCCGUUCCCUGCCCCGCCCCCUCUCCCUCCCUCCCUGCCCUACUUUCCUACUGCUCACUUCCUCCCUAACUUGCCUCUGCAGAAGCCUGCCUGGGGCAGGGAGGCUGCAGCAGAUGGUAAGGGUGGGUGAGCAUGACUGUGCUAACCCUGGCCUGGACUAGGGGCCUGUCAAGGAUUUAGUGAAGAUGGGCUUCAAAGAACCCUGCCCCUUGCCUACCAGCUCCCCAUACCUCCAUCUCAUCUUCGUCUGGUACCAGCUGGAACCCGUGUUGGUUUAUGUUACCCCUAAGACAGAAGGAGACAGAGUGGGUAACAGGGCUUCAAGGCUUGGGGGCUGUGGCUCCUGGGGGAAGGGGAUUCUGGGGCCCUCAAGGCCCCCUGCCUUGGACAGGGGCUGGCCAGUGCCCCCAGCUCAGCCACUCCCCGGGCUGUCCCCACUCUGACCAAGCAUUCUGGAGUCCUAUUCUUGAAUCUUAGCAAGUUUAGGAAGUGCCUGGAGAGCUCACCAAGUCGCUCCCUGCUCCCAAAGAAGGAUCCUGUUGGUCGGCAGGAGGCCCAAUAAUCUUCAUUUUAAUCAAGCAUUGUAGUGAGCCAGUAGGGCUCACCCAGUGAAUUGUUACCCAGAAAGCUGCUCCCCACAGAGGGAGAAGCCCAGAGCAAUGUCCCCCGCCUGCCCCGCCCAGUUCCAGCAGAGGGGUGUGUGUGUAUGUGUGGAUGAUUCCCUCGGUCUGGUCGGCUGUUCGCUGCCAUCUCGGCUCCUGCCCUCAGCGCUCGGUCACUGUGACCUCCUUUCCUUCCUCGGGCACCUGCCCACGCCCACCUUAGACAGCUCUAAGGGGUCAGGUCCCAUCCAUGGGCACCCCUCCACCCCCACCCCCACCCCAGUCCUCCAAUGUCAGGGUCUGUAGGCAGAAGCAGAAGAGGGCGAUAGGACCCUCCCUUCUCUUCCCCCCUCCACCCACUAUGGCCUUUUGGUGUGGAUACUGCCCUUGGGGAGAUUUUGGAAACAGGCAAGAUGGAGGGAGAUAUUGGAUGGGGAGGGGAGGCACACGAAAGCUUGGCAGUGGUGGAAGGAGUAAGGGUUAGUGGCCCGGGGGUUAGGGGAGGUCCUUGGAUGAUGGGGACCAGGUCUCACUGUGUUUCCACAAUGUCCACCGAUUCCUUGCAACAGCAGGGAAAUCCACUGGCACCUGGCAAGGAGAAGGAGGUGAGGGCCAGGCUGCUGAGGGUGGGGGGACAUCCCUGAGGGGUUCUAGAGCCCAGGCCAGGGGUGCUGCUCUAGCCACCUUCUCCCUCCAACCCUGUCCCUUACCACCCUGCUUGCCACCCUUCUCCCGCCCUCCCUUGUCCCUGCUCUCGCUGGCCUGUGUCACCAGCCCUAUCUGCUGCCUUCCCCUGCCAUGACUGCUUUUCCUCCACCCCGUGCUGCGUAAGGAUGGGUGCUAAGAGAAUUCAUUCCAUUUAUUGAGUACUACUUGCCCAGGCCCUGGGCAGAGCACUUUCUGUGCUUUCUCUCAUUGAUUCAACAUAACAAAUGAGAAGAGAUUCAUUUGUCCGAGGUCCCUCAACUCAUCACUGCUGAAGUCAGGACUUGAACACAAGUUUGACUCUUCACUGCCUUGCAUGCUGUCCUACCCAGGAGUCUGUCACUGUGGGGACCCUAUCAUGCUUUGGUUGGCCUGUCUUCAUUUCUCUCUGUGCUUGCCUCUCUGGCCCCUUUCUCCAGUCUCUCUGGCCAGGCCCAAUAUCUCUCUCUCAUCCAAAUCCUGGCAUCUCCUACCCUGAAGACCAUCCUCUCUUCCUCAGGCAUCUCACCCCAUACACCCUGGGUUGUCCAUCCCCCAGGUCAGGCCACGGUUCUCACCCCAGGUAUUUAGGUGAUGCUGACACCUGUCUGGUAAUUUAUGAGCUCCAAUUCCCUCUGCAGGGCAGACUGAGUGAUCCCUUAGGAGAGAUCCCCCCACUCCAGUCCCUUCUCUGGUGACUUGUGUCUUUUACUGCAGAAGUUUCUUUUUCAUUCUCUGGAGGUGGGGCCACCACACUAUCCCAUUCUCUGCUACCUGAGGUACAGAUGGGGGCUGAUGCUGGGCCAUCAAGGCAAUGGGCAAGCUGGGUCCCCAUGAGCCUGGAGUGUGGCAGGAAAUGAGCGCCUUGGCUCCGGCUGAGAAGAACUGCUCCCAGGACUACAUCGGAAGGAUGAGAACGCGCCUCUUCCUAGAGAUGUAGAGGCUGGGGAGGGUCCUUGUGGGGCUGGUCCUGGGACUGGAAUGUGGGCACAUCCAUGUUCUGCCUGGGCCUGGGGAUCUUGGAUCAGCUGGGGGGCCGGGCUAGGGGCCCCCUCCACAGGCUAGGGGUCCCCCUCCAUGGGCAGGCUCCCAACCGUCAGCUCAGUGCUCUCUUCAGAGCCUCCGUCUCAACAACCACGCUCCCUUGGCUUCCCCCCCUCACCCGUCUCUCAAAUCCACGGGCCGCAAGUGUUGCUAUUCCCCAGGCUUCUGAUCUCAGAGCUUUGCUUGCUUUGCAGACUUUCUCUGGGCAACUUAAUCAACACCCACGGCCUUAAUCCUUCCAUGAACAGCCAUUGGCUGUGGAUAAGAAGGGAAAGUGCUAUGGUGUGAACCUCAUUUGUCAGCAGUUUGCUGCUAUCUUGGCCCUUGUCCUCAGCAGCACUGGAGGAUUGGAAGCAAAAGUCUGAGGUUGACUCAACUUGGGGACUUUGUGCCUAACUUUGGAAUGUUCUAUAGGGAGUCAAGUGACAUUCUGUAGGCAUGAAAUAAUUUUGAUUUUCAGUUGCUGGUUGCUAGUAUACAGAAUUGUAAACCCUGAAAUCACCCUAAAAUCCUAUUAUUUCUAGUUUCUUUUCUCUUCUUCCUUCCUUCCUUUUUUCUUUUCUUUAUUCUUUCUUUUUCUUCCUUCCUUCCUUUCUCUUUCUUUCUCCCCCUCCUUCCUCCCUUCCUUUCUUUCUUCUUUCUUUUCCAUAAGGUUUUUCUACAUACACAAUAAUGUGUGUCCUUCAAGACAGUUUUACUUCCCCUUUCCAAUCUGGAUGUCUCUUAUUUCCUUCUCUUGUUUGACAGCACUGAGAACACCAGUACCAGGAUGGACAGAACUGAGAGCGCGGGGGGCAGGCACUCAGUAUUUCGCCAUAAGUGUGAUGCUGGCUGUAGUUUUUGUCACUGGUGUUCUUUUUUAAGUUGAGGAAUUUCCCUUCUAUCCCUGAUUUACUUAGUUUUUAAUUAGGAACUGUUGUUGGAUUUUCUCUGAUACUUUUUCAACACUUAUUGUGACGAUCAUAUGGUUUUUCUUUCAGAUUCUAAUAUAUAUGCUAUAUAGAACAUGUUAUGUUAACAUAUGAAUAAUGUUAUAUUUUAAAAAUAAUUCUUUUAUGAUGGAUCAUUUUUAAAAUAUUAAAAUCAGCCUUACAUUCCUAGGAUAAAUCUCAUUUGGUCAUUCUAUACAUUGCUGAGUUUAAUUUGGUAACUUUUUAGAAAAUUUUUAUAUAUAUGUUCAUGAGGUAUAUUGGUGUAUAAUUUUCUUAUACUGUCUUUGUCAGGUUUGGAUAUUAGUGUAAUUCUAGCCUCGUAGAAAGAGUUGAGAGAUAUUCCCUAUUAAAAUUUCUGGAAGAGCUUGUA
Molecule: non-coding RNA, 4210 nt
Organism: Manis javanica (Malayan pangolin)
Lineage: Eukaryota; Metazoa; Chordata; Mammalia; Pholidota; Manidae
Source: RefSeq, a predicted model, not a curated record